RNAcentral lists this ribosomal RNA (1490 nucleotides) under Helicobacter pylori R037c. RNAcentral's name for it is "bacterial SSU rRNA". It matches the Rfam family "Bacterial small subunit ribosomal RNA". Lineage: Bacteria; Pseudomonadati; Campylobacterota; Epsilonproteobacteria; Campylobacterales; Helicobacteraceae. The record is from RNAcentral.
GAGUUUGAUCCUGGCUCAGAGUGAACGCUGGUGGCGUGCCUAAUACAUGCAAGUCGAACGAUGAAGCUUCUAGCUUGCUAGAAUGCUGAUUAGUGGCGCACGGGUGAGUAACGCAUAGGUCAUGUGCCUCUUAGUUUGGGAUAGCCAUUGGAAACGAUGAUUAAUACCAGAUACUCCCUACGGGGGAAAGAUUUAUCGCUAAGAGAUCAGCCUAUGUCCUAUCAGCUUGUUGGUAAGGUAAUGGCUUACCAAGGCUAUGACGGGUAUCCGGCCUGAGAGGGUGAACGGACACACUGGAACUGAGACACGGUCCAGACUCCUACGGGAGGCAGCAGUAGGGAAUAUUGCUCAAUGGGGGAAACCCUGAAGCAGCAACGCCGCGUGGAGGAUGAAGGUUUUAGGAUUGUAAACUCCUUUUGUUAGAGAAGAUAAUGACGGUAUCUAACGAAUAAGCACCGGCUAACUCCGUGCCAGCAGCCGCGGUAAUACGGAGGGUGCAAGCGUUACUCGGAAUCACUGGGCGUAAAGAGCGCGUAGGCGGGAUAGUCAGUCAGGUGUGAAAUCCUAUGGCUUAACCAUAGAACUGCAUUUGAAACUACUAUUCUAGAGUGUGGGAGAGGUAGGUGGAAUUCUUGGUGUAGGGGUAAAAUCCGUAGAGAUCAAGAGGAAUACUCAUUGCGAAGGCGACCUGCUGGAACAUUACUGACGCUGAUUGCGCGAAAGCGUGGGGAGCAAACAGGAUUAGAUACCCUGGUAGUCCACGCCCUAAACGAUGGAUGCUAGUUGUUGGAGGGCUUAGUCUCUCCAGUAAUGCAGCUAACGCAUUAAGCAUCCCGCCUGGGGAGUACGGUCGCAAGAUUAAAACUCAAAGGAAUAGACGGGGACCCGCACAAGCGGUGGAGCAUGUGGUUUAAUUCGAAGAUACACGAAGAACCUUACCUAGGCUUGACAUUGAGAGAAUCCGCUAGAAAUAGUGGAGUGUCUGGCUUGCCAGACCUUGAAAACAGGUGCUGCACGGCUGUCGUCAGCUCGUGUCGUGAGAUGUUGGGUUAAGUCCCGCAACGAGCGCAACCCCCUUUCUUAGUUGCUAACAGGUCAUGCUGAGAACUCUAAGGAUACUGCCUCCGUAAGGAGGAGGAAGGUGGGGACGACGUCAAGUCAUCAUGGCCCUUACGCCUAGGGCUACACACGUGCUACAAUGGGGUGCACAAAGAGAAGCAAUACUGCGAAGUGGAGCCAAUCUUCAAAACACCUCUCAGUUCGGAUUGUAGGCUGCAACUCGCCUGCAUGAAGCUGGAAUCGCUAGUAAUCGCAAAUCAGCCAUGUUGCGGUGAAUACGUUCCCGGGUCUUGUACUCACCGCCCGUCACACCAUGGGAGUUGUGUUUGCCUUAAGUCAGGAUGCUAAAUUGGCUACUGCCCACGGCACACACAGCGACUGGGGUGAAGUCGUAACAAGGUAACCGUAGGUGAACCUGCGGUUGGAUCACC